ACUCCUGCGGGAGGCAGCAGUGGGGAAUUUUGGACAGUGGGCGAAAGCCUGAUCCAGCAAUGCCGCGUGUGUGAAGAAGGCCUUCGGGUUGUAAAGCACUUUUGUCCGGAAAGAAAUCCUUGGCUCUAAUACAGUCGGGGGAUGACGGUACCGGAAGAAUAAGCACCGGCUAACUACGUGCCAGCAGCCGCGGUAAUACGUAGGGUGCGAGCGUUAAUCGGAAUUACUGGGCGUAAAGCGUGCGCAGGCGGUUUGCUAAGACCGAUGUGAAAUCCCCGGGCUCAACCUGGGAACUGCAUUGGUGACUGGCAGGCUAGAGUAUGGCAGAGGGGGGUAGAAUUCCACGUGUAGCAGUGAAAUGCGUAGAGAUGUGGAGGAAUACCGAUGGCGAAGGCAGCCCCCUGGGCCAAUACUGACGCUCAUGCACGAAAGCGUGGGGAGCAAACAGGAUUAGAAACCCUAGUAGUCCC
This 470-nucleotide ribosomal RNA is filed under the name uncultured organism. RNAcentral's name for it is "partial 16S ribosomal RNA". It matches the Rfam family "Bacterial small subunit ribosomal RNA", at positions 335 to 797 of the family's 1533-position model. The record is from RNAcentral.